GAAAGCAUUGCAUGUGGUCUGUGCAAUUGGGGAUCAUAGCAAACUGUGAAGGUUUCUCCUCCUCAUUUGGCUUUUCAGCUUCUUAAGAUGAAACCAGCCAGCUAAUGGCUGUUUCCAUGUGGGAAACAGAGCCCACCUGACACAUGCAUGCUUGCAAAGUGUGCAUUUUUCCAGUUAUAGUGUGGAUUUAACCCCUGUAACUUGUUCCACUUUGCCAGUUAUCCAGUAAACAUCAAAAAUUGCUGCCUUGAGAAUUAUAACAGCAUCUGGCACAUCAGCUCAAGCACAGUUAACCUGGCAGCUGUGUGCAGGGACUGCCUUGGCAGGCGCAGAGCAAAUCUUGGAGUUCAAGCCACACUGAGGAGUUUGCCUUGUGCAGAAAGCAGCUGUAAUUGGCUGCAGAAGAUAAAAGGUGGCGUUGUGGUGAGGCUCCCCGGGAUGCAAAGGUGGAAAAUGGUGUAGUGGAAGGGAAAAGGCAACCCCGACCGCCCUCUGGUGGGUCUCCAGCUCACAGGGCCCGGGAUCCGGGAUCCUGCUGCCGCAGGGAGGUCCAAGGCCACCUUCUCAUCUCCUGCCCUGCAGAGCUUCCUGGGCUGGAGCUAAAUGAAGGUGAUGAUGGUAAGAAAAAUAAAGUGAUGUUUGCCAGCAAAUGUGUGAGCGGCAGGACAGAUGCCUCCAUGCUGGUCCUUGGCAGAUGGUCCUGGGGAAUUAUUGACUUGAUCCAGAAUGAGUGACAAGUCCUCCCUGACUUGCUUGUCCAGGAAUUCUUCAACUGCUGCAUCAACACUUGUCUUCCAAAGCACUGAUCUUCUUGUAGCAAGCAUUCACUUUGGGGGAACCUCUCCUGCUGCAGGACAGUGAUGUGGAACACAACACAGCAGCAGACAAGAGGUGCACUUACCCCACUGGAAUAUCCCUUCUCAUGUCUCACAGCUGUCCCUGAACAGAGACAUUUCUGGAUCCAAUGUAUGGAAAAGCAAACUGUUGUAUGGCUGUAUAGGAACUCUAAAUCCAGUUAUUAGAUUGUCAUAAUCUGUGGAAAGAAGGGAAAAUAAAGCACAAACUAUGAAAUAGCCUCCUCUUGAA
This 1086-nucleotide long non-coding RNA is filed under the name Parus major (Great Tit). Its description in RNAcentral is "lncRNA (ENSPMJG00000019899.1)". Lineage: Eukaryota; Metazoa; Chordata; Aves; Passeriformes; Paridae. The record is from RNAcentral.